This 266-nucleotide ribosomal RNA is filed under the name uncultured bacterium. Its description in RNAcentral is "partial 16S ribosomal RNA". It matches the Rfam family "Bacterial small subunit ribosomal RNA", at positions 524 to 787 of the family's 1533-position model. The record is from RNAcentral.
UACGGAGGGUGCGAGCGUUGUCCGGAAUCACUGGGCGUAAAGGGCGCGUAGGUGGCGCGGGCAGUCAACGGUGAAAGUUCGGGGCUCAACCCUGAAUCGGCCGUCGAUACUCCCGAGCUGGAGCACUGUAGAGGCUCAUGGAAUUCCGGGUGUAGCGGUGGAAUGCGUAGAGAUCCGGAAGAACACCGGUGGCGAGGCGGUGAGCUGGGCAGUUGCUGGACACUGAGGCGCGACGAGCGUGGGGAGCAAACAGGGAUUAGAUACCC